Gorilla gorilla gorilla (western lowland gorilla) is the source of this 3608-nucleotide long non-coding RNA. RefSeq lists it as uncharacterized. The record is from RefSeq and is a predicted model, not a curated record. Lineage: Eukaryota; Metazoa; Chordata; Mammalia; Primates; Hominidae. The transcript has 5 exons.
ACUAUUUCUGAAACAGCCAAUUGUGGGAGAGCAGUUGAGACUUUGAUGUCUGAGGUUCUCCCAUUUCAACACUUGGUAUAAAAAUUGCAGGCAAGGGGCCUGGUCUCUGACUGCAUCAAAUGACCAACGGUCUGAGUAUGAGGCACAUCAGGGGCAGAACAAGAGAAGAGAAAGUACGGUGAUGUGGCUGCCCAGCAGGAGGAAGUGUUUUCUGAUCGGUUGGUGAACAACCUCUAAACAGGGACAAGAACCUGAGCAGAAAACCGCUGAACCCAGAGUGCAUUCUGAACAUUUCUCAAAAUAAUAGCUUACAUUUGUUUUUUUCUGAGCGCUAACCAAGUGACACUCACUUGUCAUCCAUUUAUGUGUUCCCGCUGGGUCACAGCAGCCUCAACUAAUGCAAAUCAAUUGUUGCCUCUGUAUAUCCCAUUCCCGACCUGGCCCUUUUAGGAGCUUCCACCUUACUGCUAACUGGGGGACAGCAAGUUAGUAUCUUGUCUCUUCUGAAUCCUUUUGGAAGUGUUGUAACUGGCUAAAGCAGCCCGCACGUGGGACUGAAUCACUUUGGAACCCCCCUCAGCCUUCUCUUGAAUCAAACAGUUCCAUUUCAUGUACAGGUCCCAUCAGUUUGAAAUGAAGCCCUGCCUAGGCUCACACUUGGCCUUUCUGAGUUCUGCCACCACCACCUCCUUCCCAAGCUUGUGGCUAGCUUCAUAAUGUGGCUUCCUGGGGAGAGGACCAGUGGGACAGAGUCUCAGCUCUGUGUCCAGGGUCCUUGGGUAGCAAUGGAACUGCUAUGCACUGAAUGUUUGUGUUUAUAUGUUGAAGCUCUAAUCCCCAGAGUGACUGUCUAUAUUUGGAGAUGGGGCCUCUAAUAAAGUAAUUAAGGUUAAAUGAAGUCAUAGGGUGGGGCCCUGAUCUGAUGGAAUUAGUGUCCUUAUUAGAAAAGACUCCAGAGCCUCCUCUGUCUCUGCCUCUGCCUCUGCCUCUGUCUCUGUCUAUGCCUCCGCCUCUGUCUCUGUCUCUGUCUCUGCCUCUGCCUUUCUCUGAGACCAUACAAGGAAGAGCACACAGUGAGAUGAUAGCAGCCUACAAGCCAAGAGAAGAGACCUCAGAAUGAAACCUACUCUUCCAGCACCUUGAUCUUGGACAUCUCAACCUCCAGAACUGUCAGCUCACCCAGACAGCUUCCUCCAGCUCUGAAACAGAUCGAUCGAGCACCAGAUGAAGUUGACAUGGAUGGGAGAUGUGAUGUACAAGAGAAAAGCAAAAAUUACUUGAGAUCUCUCCCCGAAGUCAAAAGUAAUGGGACAGGCAGACCCUCCUGAAAUUCUGAGCAGAAAUUGCUGCUACAUUUGAAUCAGAUUCUAAGAGAUCAUCAACAUUAGAAUGUGCACAUCGUAAUUCAAAUCUCUGAAGAGGAAGAAGGAGGAUAUUGACUUCAGUCUUCAUUUGGUCCUGUUAUGGGACUUCCAGACACUGAAAAAACUCAUCCCUACAGCCGGCUGGAGGAUAUUGUCCUGGAAGGGGCAGCUUUCACCUAUGGUUUGAAUUCAAUUAGCCAGCUCCUCUGAGAGCCACUAGAGUACCAUUUAGGACAUUGCUUCUUGAAUUCUCAUUUGCAGCCUUGCAAAUAAUUUUCAAAGGUCAUUAGACCAUAAGGAGUUUUCAUUACCCUUCAUUCAUGUCAACAGCAAACACUUACUGAUCGAGCGUCUACUUGGUGCCCUAUGCUAGAUGCUUCCAGGUGCAUCCAAAAAGGGAUGCAGUACAAAAAGUUAAAAUGACUAGAAGCAGCAACACAUGGAAGGUAAAAAUCUUUCUAAUAAGAGCAAUGGAAGAAACAUUUCUACAAAUGUUAAGUUGUAAGUCAAAUGUUUUUAAAAAGAAAGAAAUGACAAAUUUGAUUAGACAAAAAUGAGAAACUGCUUGCUGUGGUCUCAAUGUGUCCCCCCAGAUUCAUAUGUUAAACCUUAAUUGCCAAUGGGAGAGUAUUAGGAGGUAGGGACUUUAGGAGGUGAUUAAGUCUCUGCCUUCAUGAAUGGGAUUAGUGUCCUUAUAAAAGAGGUGCAAGGAAGCUGCCCAUCCAUUCCACCACAUAAGGAUGCAUCCAAAGGUGCCAUCUGUGAAGCAGAGAAUGCCCUCACUAGACAUCAAACUAGACGUCAAACCUAAAUUGGCCUUGAUCUUGGGCUUCCCAUCCUCCAGAACUGUGAGCAAUAAAUUUCUAUUUUUUAUAAAUUAUCCAGUCUAAGGUAUCUUGUUAUAGCAGCCCAAACAUACUGAGGCACUCUUGAAUGUCAAAAGACACUGUAAACAAAAUUUAAAAGGCGAAUUGCAAAAUGGGGCAAAUAUUUAAAACCAUAAAGGGUAAGAUCCUUUAUGAAAGCGUCAUAUAGCUCAAUAAAGGAAAAACAGUCCAACAGAAACAUGGUUCUAGAACAUAAGCCCUUCACAGAAGAAAUACAAAUCACUGACAGACAUACAAAAUGCCAAGAAUAGCUAAUAUUUAAAGAAAUACAAUAAAAAUAAUGAAACAUUUAAGCCUGUCACAUUUUCCUCUUCUUUUUCGUUCUCUUAUUCUUUUUUUUAAGAUUCAAAGCCGUUAGUGAAAGCACAUGAAACACAGUGAAGUGGAGUUGGAGGUGCCGGUCAUUGCCUGCCUGUUCAUGCCCUGUUCUAGGUAAUCUGUCCUCUUCCCAGCCUACCCACCUAUUACUUCUCUGACCUACAUUCACCAUGGAGAGCAGCUCAUCAGCAAGGGCCCGGAGUGUGGGGCCAUACACUCUAGCAAAGCAAAGGCUCCCGGGAGCUGAGUGAAAGAACUCAGAGCCUUGCAGAGAAGCUACUCACCCACUAACCAGAGGUUGGAGCAGAGGAGAUGGCUGCAGAGACAACACACACAGACAUAGCGCCUGGGCUUUGUAGGUGGGCAAGGCCAGGCUGUGCUUCCUCCAGUUGGAGGCACUGAGCUCCCCCAACAAGCCUACAAUGGACCCUGCAUCUCACCUGAGCUGCUUUGAGCUGGGCUCUGUUUUAGCCACUGACAGAGCCGUGCUCCUGCGUUGCUAGGGGUACAGCACAUUGGUGGAACUUUUCCAGGGCACGUGGCAAUUUGUAUUAGCAGCUUUCAGUUGGGAGUUGUUUUUCAACUCAGCAAUUCCCAGUAAGGGAAUUUAUCAAAGAUAUGACUAAAGAUUUGUGUCCAGGGACACUUACUGAAAUGUUAUUUUUUAUUAGUGAAAAAUUGGAAACAACUUAAAAGCCCCACAGGAAGGAAAUAGUUUCUCUCCAUAAGAUGGUAUACAAAGGUCAUGGUAACAUACCCACGGUGUGGUCUUGCAAAGCCUGCUGCUGAAAAAGCGAAAUAAUAUGAACCCUAAACUGGCAGAAGAUGAUGCUUUUAUGCAUAAAAAACACUGAAAGUGUGUCAUCUAAAAUCUAUUAAUCUUUUAUUUUGAAAUAAUAUCACUUGUAUAGGUAAGUUGCAAAACCAGUACAAGCAGUGCUCAUGUGUCUUCACCUCAGCUCAACAAUUGUUGACACUUCGCAACAUUUGAUUUAUUGUUCUCUCUCCAACAUACACAUUCACUCACAUAUAAUUCUUA